CAGUUCUGCAGUGCGUGCACAUUGAAUUGCAAAUUCAAAGACGUUACCGAGAGGUAGCCGGGACU
This 65-nucleotide transfer RNA is filed under the name Crenadactylus ocellatus. RNAcentral describes it as "tRNA-Cys". The record is from RNAcentral. Lineage: Eukaryota; Metazoa; Chordata; Lepidosauria; Squamata; Diplodactylidae.